GGGGCUUUAGCUCAGCUGGGAGAGCGCCUGUUUUGCACGCAGGAGGUCAGGGGUUCGAUCCCCCUAAGCUCCACCA
This 76-nucleotide transfer RNA is filed under the name Acholeplasma sp. RNAcentral's name for it is "tRNA-Ala". It matches the Rfam family "tRNA". From Rfam's summary of the family: Transfer RNA (tRNA) molecules are approximately 80 nucleotides in length. Their secondary structure includes four short double-helical elements and three loops (D, anti-codon, and T loops). Further hydrogen bonds mediate the characteristic L-shaped molecular structure. tRNAs have two regions of fundamental functional importance: the anti-codon, which is responsible for specific mRNA codon recognition, and the 3' end, to which the tRNAs corresponding amino acid is attached (by aminoacyl-tRNA synthetases). tRNAs cope with the degeneracy of the genetic code in two manners: having more than one tRNA (with a specific anti-codon) for a particular amino acid; and 'wobble' base-pairing, i.e. permitting non-standard base-pairing at the 3rd anti-codon position. RNAcentral also lists the same sequence under 12 other names. The record is from RNAcentral. Lineage: Bacteria; Bacillati; Mycoplasmatota; Mollicutes; Acholeplasmatales; Acholeplasmataceae.